AUUGAACGCUGGCGGCAUGCCUUACACGUGCCAAUCGAACGGUAACGGGCCUUCGGGUGCCGACGAGUGGCGGACGGGUGAGUAAUACAUCGGAACGUGCCCGAUCGUGGGGGAUAACGAGGCGAAAGCUUUGCUAAUACCGCAUACGAUCUACGGAUGAAAGCAGGGGACCGCAAGGCCUUGCGCGGACGGAGCGGCCGAUGGCAGAUUAGGUAGUUGGUGGGAUAAAAGCUUACCAAGCCGACGAUCCGUAGCUGGUCUGAGAGGAUGAUCAGCCACACUGGGACUGAGACACGGCCCAGACUCCUACGGGAGGCAGCAGUGGGGAAUUUUGGACAAUGGGCGCAAGCCUGAACCAGCCAUGCCGCGUGCAGGAUGAAGGCCUUCGGGUUGUAAACUGAUUUUGUACGGAACGAAAAGCCUUCUUUUAAUACAGGAGGGUCAUGACGGUACCGUAAGAAUAAGCACCGGCUAACUACGUG
This 482-nucleotide ribosomal RNA is filed under the name uncultured bacterium. Its description in RNAcentral is "partial 16S ribosomal RNA". It matches the Rfam family "Bacterial small subunit ribosomal RNA", at positions 30 to 507 of the family's 1533-position model. The record is from RNAcentral.